Molecule: ribosomal RNA, 412 nt
Filed under: Bacteroidetes bacterium oral taxon 272
Lineage: Bacteria; Pseudomonadati; Bacteroidota
Description: bacterial SSU rRNA
Rfam family: Bacterial small subunit ribosomal RNA
Source: RNAcentral
GAUGAACGCUAGCUACAGGCUUAACACAUGCAAGUCGUGGGGCAUCAUGAUGUAGUAAUACAUUGAUGGCGACCGGCGCACGGGUGAGUAACGCGUAUCCAACCUACCCUCCACUCAAGUAUAGGCUUCCGAAAGGGAGAUUAAUCCUUGAUAUCGUCAUUCUCUCUCCUGUUAGAAUGAUAAAAGGACAUCGUUUCGGUAGAGGAUGGGGAUGCGUUCCAUUAGGUAGUAGGUGGUUUAACAGGCCACCUAGCCGAUGAUGGAUAGGGGUUCUGAGAGGAAUAUCCCCCACACUGGUACUGAGAUACGGACCAGACUCCUACGGGAGGCAGCAGUGAGGAAUAUUGGUCAAUGGGCGCAAGCCUGAACCAGCCAUGUAGCGUGAAGGAUGACGGUUUUUUUGAUUGUAAAC